RNAcentral lists this ribosomal RNA (468 nucleotides) under uncultured bacterium. RNAcentral describes it as "partial 16S ribosomal RNA". It matches the Rfam family "Bacterial small subunit ribosomal RNA", at positions 28 to 507 of the family's 1533-position model. The record is from RNAcentral.
GACGAACGCUGGCGGCGUGCUUAACACAUGCAAGUCGAACGGAAAGGCCCUGCUUUUGUGGGGUGCUCGAGUGGCGAACGGGUGAGUAACACGUGAGUAACCUGCCCUUGACUUUGGGAUAACUUCAGGAAACUGGGGCUAAUACCGGAUAGGAGCUCCUGCUGCAUGGUGGGGGUUGGAAAGUUUCGGCGGUUGGGGAUGGACUCGCGGCUUAUCAGCUUGUUGGUGGGGUAGUGGCUUACCAAGGCUUUGACGGGUAGCCGGCCUGAGAGGGUGACCGGCCACAUUGGGACUGAGAUACGGCACAGACUACUACGGGAGGCGGCGGAGGGGAAUAUAGCACAAUGGGCGGAAGCCUGAUGCAGCAACGCAGCGUGCGGGAUGACGGCAUUCGGGUUGUGAACCGCUUUCGCCUGUGACGAGGCGUGAGUGACGGUAAUGGGUAAAGAAGCACCGGCUAACUACGUG